CUGCAUGAGUUGCGUGUUUCUGUAAAUAUGGACAAACAAUAAGCUUGAUGGGAUUUAGUUGGUUAUUAAGUCUAAAAUGCUCAUAAGGGGACCACCACACAUUC
RNAcentral lists this small nucleolar RNA (104 nucleotides) under Dichanthelium oligosanthes. The record is from RNAcentral. Lineage: Eukaryota; Viridiplantae; Streptophyta; Magnoliopsida; Poales; Poaceae.